RNAcentral lists this ribosomal RNA (253 nucleotides) under uncultured bacterium. RNAcentral's name for it is "partial 16S ribosomal RNA". It matches the Rfam family "Bacterial small subunit ribosomal RNA", at positions 524 to 776 of the family's 1533-position model. The record is from RNAcentral.
UACGAAGGGGGCUAGCGUUGCUCGGAAUUAUUGGGCGUAAAGCGCGUGUAGGCGGCUUUGCAAGUCGGGUGUGAAAUCCCUCAGCUCAACUGAGGAAGUGCGCCCGAAACUGCAGAGCUUGAGUGCCGGAGAGGGUGGCGGAAUUCCCCAAGUAGAGGUGAAAUUCGUAGAUAUGGGGAGGAACACCGGUGGCGAAGGCGGCGACCUGGGUCGAGACUGACGCUAAUACGCGAAAGCGUGGGGAGCAAACAGG